This 751-nucleotide unclassified non-coding RNA is filed under the name Hevea brasiliensis (rubber tree). Lineage: Eukaryota; Viridiplantae; Streptophyta; Magnoliopsida; Malpighiales; Euphorbiaceae. The record is from RNAcentral.
CCACAAGCACACAGGAAGAAGAAAAUUACUCAUAUAUGGUGCAAACCAAAACUAGUACAUUUGUGCAAAGAUGAUGAAAUUCAUAAAACUUUCAUAGAUAUCAUUUUAAGACAGAGGUACAUAGUAAUGGAACACAUACAAAAUACACAUUAGGAUCUACCAGCCAGUGUCUUAAGCAGAUUUAUCGUACUGAGUGUUUCUCCUUGCACAUUCCAAGAUUGUCUUGUCAGCAGUAAUGAAGUAUGCAGCAAUUGAAGCAGCAGAUAUGAUGAGUGCUUGAGCAGUAUAAUUGAGAUUUGCCUUUGCCCAAGGAAUUGUCCGCACAGCAACCAACGUAGGAAUAGCACUAGCAACACAAGCAACUGCGGCUGCUUUAGUUCCUGCACGGACACCCUCUUGAGUACAUUCCCUAGACUUGCGAAUUCUGUCCUCUUCAUAUGCAGAAGCAAUCAACAAAGAUUCCCUUCGCUUUGCCCAUGAAUCCUCCCUUGUCAUCUCUGAUGAAAUUCCCAUUUCUCUUUGUUGUUAAUUUAAGAUGAAUCUGUAUCAGAAAAAAACCCAAACUUUUAAAAGAGGAAGUCAGCACUCAGCAGAGAGAUGGAUCAAGAAAAUGACCUGGGGUUGCAGAUUUAGUUGUUUUGGUGGUGGGGAGAAAGCAAAAAGGAAUACUGAUAUACUGCUGCAGUUGAGGGCGGCGAAUUGAAUAAAGAAAUGCAGUCAGCACACAGAGAUGGCAGCAGUUUUGGCUGCU